This is a long non-coding RNA of Lepus europaeus (European hare), 456 nucleotides long. RefSeq lists it as uncharacterized. NCBI's taxonomy places the organism in Eukaryota, Metazoa, Chordata, Mammalia, Lagomorpha, Leporidae. The transcript has 3 exons. The record is from RefSeq and is a predicted model, not a curated record.
AGCAAGUCUGCGUUGCUCUGGGUCGGUCCUUGUUGAGCCGCGGGGGUUGGUGAGGAGGUCGGCGGGCAGAAGAGCACGUGAAGAUCAUACUGAGAAUCGCAAGGCUCACCGAGGGGUCCUCUGUCUGCCAUCCUCUUGCCAUGCCACAUGAUUGGACGAGUGGAGUCUCCUGAUCUUCGCCUGGGAACCUCUCAACUGUCUGCGAAUUUUGCUCUGGGAGAAAACAAGCCAAUGGGGCCAGCGUUGUGGUGUGGCCACCUGUGACGCCAGCAUCCCAUCCGGGUGCCCGUUUAAUUCCAGGCUCCUCCAAUUCUGAUCCAGCUCCCUGCUAAGGGGUCUCGGAGGGCAGAAGAGGACGGCUCAGGUCCUUGGGCCCCUGCUACCCACGUGGAAGAUCCAGAGGACGUUCCUGGCUCCUAGUUUUCAACCAGCUCAGUUCGCAAUGUUUGGAGUGGA